AACGAACGCUGGCGGCAUGCCUAACACAUGCAAGUCGAACGAGACCUUCGGGUCUAGUGGCGCAAGGGUGCGUAACGCGUGGGAACCUGCCCUUAGGUUCGGAAUAACUCCCCGAAAGGGGUGCUAAUACCGGAGAAUGUCUUCGGACCAAGGAUUUAUCGCCGUUGGAUGGGCCCGCGUUGGAUUAGCUAGUUGGUAGGGUGAAAGCCUACCAAGGCGACGAUCCAUAGCUGGUCUGAGAGGAUGAUCAGCCACACUGGGACUGAGACACGGCCCAGACUCCUACGGGAGGCAGCAGUGGGGAAUAUUGGACAAUGGGCGAAAGCCUGAUCCAGCAAUGCCGCGUGAGUGAUGAAGGCCUUAGGGUUGUAAAGCUCUUUUACCCGGGAUGAUAAUGACAGUACCGGGAGAAUAAGCUCCGGCUAACUCCGUG
This 433-nucleotide ribosomal RNA is filed under the name uncultured bacterium. RNAcentral's name for it is "partial 16S ribosomal RNA". It matches the Rfam family "Bacterial small subunit ribosomal RNA", at positions 29 to 507 of the family's 1533-position model. The record is from RNAcentral.